UCUGAGACUGAGUGAUAAAAU
RNAcentral lists this non-coding RNA (21 nucleotides) under Caenorhabditis elegans. Lineage: Eukaryota; Metazoa; Nematoda; Chromadorea; Rhabditida; Rhabditidae. The record is from RNAcentral.